This 71-nucleotide transfer RNA is filed under the name Xenopus victorianus (Lake Victoria clawed frog). Its description in RNAcentral is "tRNA-Ala". It matches the Rfam family "tRNA". Rfam says of the family: Transfer RNA (tRNA) molecules are approximately 80 nucleotides in length. Their secondary structure includes four short double-helical elements and three loops (D, anti-codon, and T loops). Further hydrogen bonds mediate the characteristic L-shaped molecular structure. tRNAs have two regions of fundamental functional importance: the anti-codon, which is responsible for specific mRNA codon recognition, and the 3' end, to which the tRNAs corresponding amino acid is attached (by aminoacyl-tRNA synthetases). tRNAs cope with the degeneracy of the genetic code in two manners: having more than one tRNA (with a specific anti-codon) for a particular amino acid; and 'wobble' base-pairing, i.e. permitting non-standard base-pairing at the 3rd anti-codon position. The record is from RNAcentral. Lineage: Eukaryota; Metazoa; Chordata; Amphibia; Anura; Pipidae.
GAAGGCUUUAGCUUAAUUAAAGUGGUUGAGUUGCAUUCAAUUGAUGUUGGAUAAAGUCCUGCAAGCCUUAU